GAAAUAUGUUGGUCAAGAGGAAGCUGCUAACUUUUCUCUUUAGUGGUUAAAUUCCAUUAAUAUUUCU
This 67-nucleotide transfer RNA is filed under the name Ogcogaster segmentator. RNAcentral's name for it is "tRNA-Ser". Lineage: Eukaryota; Metazoa; Arthropoda; Insecta; Neuroptera; Myrmeleontidae. The record is from RNAcentral.